Molecule: ribosomal RNA, 404 nt
Filed under: Verrucomicrobiota bacterium
Lineage: Bacteria; Pseudomonadati; Verrucomicrobiota
Description: Verrucomicrobia bacterium partial 16S ribosomal RNA
Rfam family: Bacterial small subunit ribosomal RNA
Source: RNAcentral
UGGGGAAUAUUGGACAAUGGGCGCAAGCCUGAUCCAGCCAUGCCGCGUGAGUGAUGAAGGCCCUAGGGUUGUAAAGCUCUUUCACCGGUGAAGAUAAUGACGGUAACCGGAGAAGAAGCCCCGGCUAACUUCGUGCCAGCAGCCGCGGUACUACGAAGGGGGCUAGCGUUGUUCGGAUUUACUGGGCGUAAAGCGCACGUAGGCGGACUUUUAAGUCAGGGGUGAAAUCCCGGGGCUCAACCCCGGAACUGCCUUUGAUACUGGAAGUCUUGAGUAUGGUAGAGGUGAGUGGAAUUCCGAGUGUAGAGGUGAAAUUCGUAGAUAUUCGGAGGAACACCAGUGGCGAAGGCGGCUCACUGGACCAUUACUGACGCUGAGGUGCGAAAGCGUGGGGAGCAAACAGG